RNAcentral lists this ribosomal RNA (468 nucleotides) under uncultured bacterium. Its description in RNAcentral is "partial 16S ribosomal RNA". It matches the Rfam family "Bacterial small subunit ribosomal RNA", at positions 28 to 507 of the family's 1533-position model. The record is from RNAcentral.
GACGAACGCUGGCGGCGUGCCUAACACAUGCAAGUCGAACGGAAAGGCCCUGCUUUUGUGGGGUUCUCGAGUGGCGAACGGGUGAGUAACACGUGAGUAACCUGCCCUUGACUUUGGGAUAACUUCAGGAAACUGGGGCUAAUACCGGAGAGGAGCUCCUGCAGCAUGGUGGGGGUUGGAAAGUUUCGGCGGUUGGGGAUGGACUCGCGGCUUAUCAGCUUGUUGGUGGGGUAGUGGCUUACCAAGGCUUUGACGGGUAGCCGGCGUGAGAGGGUGGCCGGCGACAUUGGGCCUGCGGUAGGGACCAGUCGCGUAUGGGAGGCAGCGGUGGGGAGUAUUGCACAGUGGGCGGGAGCGUGUGACGGCGGCGCUCCGAGCGGAAAGCCGGCUUUCGGGUUAUGAACCGCUUUCGCCUGUGACGAAGCGUUAGUGACGGUAAUGGGUAAAGAAGCACCGGCUAACUACGUG